AACGUAGGAGGCGAGCGUUAUCCGGAUUUACUGGGCGUAAAGCGCGUGUAGGCGGCGAGGAAAGUUGGAUGUGAAAGCUCCUGGCUUAACUGGGAGAGGUCGUUCAAAACUACCUGGCUUGAGAGUGGUAGAGGAAAAUGGAAUUCCGGGUGUAGUGGUGAAAUGCGUAGAUAUCCGGAGGAACACCAGUGGCGAAAGCGGUUUUCUGGACCAUAUCUGACGCUCAGACGCGAAAGCUAGGGUAGCAAACGGGAUUAGAGACCCCGGUAGUCCUAGCCGUAAACGAUGUAGACUUGGCGUUGGUGGGGUAAUAUCCAUCAGUGCCGAAGCAAACGCGAUAAGUCUACCGCCUGGGGACUACGGCCGCAAGGUUAAA
This 376-nucleotide ribosomal RNA is filed under the name uncultured bacterium. RNAcentral's name for it is "bacterial SSU rRNA". It matches the Rfam family "Bacterial small subunit ribosomal RNA", at positions 524 to 898 of the family's 1533-position model. The record is from RNAcentral.